RNAcentral lists this unclassified non-coding RNA (180 nucleotides) under uncultured Talaromyces. Its description in RNAcentral is "sequence contains ITS1". Lineage: Eukaryota; Fungi; Ascomycota; Eurotiomycetes; Eurotiales; Trichocomaceae. The record is from RNAcentral.
CCGAGUGCGGACCCCUCGCGGGUCCAACCUCCCACCCGUGUCUCUUGUAUACCCUGUUGCUUUGGCGGGCCCACCGGGCAUCCCGGUCGCCGGGGGGCAUUCUGCCCCCGGGCCCGUGCCCGCCAGAGCGCCUCUGAACCCUUAUGAAGAUGGACUGUCUGAGUGAAUUGAUAAUAAUCA